AACGAACGCUGGCGGCAGGCUUAACACAUGCAAGUCGAACGGGUGUAGCAAUACAUCAGUGGCAGACGGGUGAGUAACACGUGGGAACCUUCCUAGGGGUACGGAACAACUCAGGGAAACUUGAGCUAAUACCGUAUACGUCCGUAAGGAGAAAGAUUCAUCGCCCCUAGACGGGCCCGCGUCGGAUUAGGUAGUUGGUGGGGUAACGGCCUACCAAGCCUACGAUCCGUAGCUGAUCUGAGAGGANGAUCAGCCACACUGGGACUGAGACACGGCCCAGACUCCUACGGGGAGGCAGCG
This 300-nucleotide ribosomal RNA is filed under the name uncultured bacterium. Its description in RNAcentral is "bacterial SSU rRNA". It matches the Rfam family "Bacterial small subunit ribosomal RNA", at positions 29 to 353 of the family's 1533-position model. The record is from RNAcentral.